This is a long non-coding RNA of Capsicum annuum, 1047 nucleotides long. RefSeq lists it as uncharacterized. NCBI's taxonomy places the organism in Eukaryota, Viridiplantae, Streptophyta, Magnoliopsida, Solanales, Solanaceae. The transcript has 3 exons. The record is from RefSeq and is a predicted model, not a curated record.
AUUAGGAAGGACAAAAACAUGUCAUGAUAUUGACUUCUCAUCAACGAAACGCCCUUCAAUGUUGACUUGCAUACACUCGUUUCUACUACCUACAUACAUUACAUUUUAUUUGGAUUAUAGUCUCUCUCUCUCUUUAAUAUUAUUUUAUCUCCAAGUCUGUCUUCAAUUCUUCUCACUUAUCCAUUAGCUGUCCAACAGUUUAAAAACACACACACACAAAAACCAAAUAUAUUAACUUAUUAAUUCAUGGGUUUGCAUUUACUGAUUGCUUUAAAGCUGAAUUUGUUAGCGUCUUCUCGAAGUUUAAAUACUCCUUUAAUUGUAAGUUUGUUAUGUCCUUUUCUAAUAAGGCUAGCAGCUUGUAAUUUAAAACCUCUCCACCAAAUUUACUCUAAUUUGGUUCGUUCAGUGAGGCUCUUUUUCUUCCAAAUGAGUCAAAUUACACUCAAUUCUCAGCCCCCAACUCGUCGGAGUAGUAUGAGGUGGGAAAGAGCUAUUCGGCUUGUGUACGAGAGAGUGACACGUGUAAGGCAUGUACAGUUCUGGGAGACGGAUGAAGAAAGCUUGCGCGCACUUUCUAUGAUUGCCCUUUGAAGUGAGAAAUUUGGUGGGAGAUAAUUUUCUACAGCAAAGAUAUUUUUCACCGACUCCAAUGGGAAUUUUUUGUGGGGUUGACUGCUAGUUGCAUUGCAGAUUUGCUGUCACUGAACAACUUAACUGGUAGUUUAAUCCUCAUGCCUAUCUCAUCCAGUAGUCCAAGUAACCAGGAACUGAGGCUCGAUCCUGAGGUCCCUUUAAGCAGUAGAUUGACUUGACAGAAGUUGCAGCUGGUGAGCCUCCCUUACUUCGGAAGGCCUGGUUACAAAACUUGUGUGGUUAUGUUAUUUUGAUUUAUAGUUCGACUGGGGCCUUGUCCCAGAGUUCAGACAGAUGAUAUUUUUAGUUAGUAGAGGUUUCGUAGAUUAAAUUCAUGUACUUUGAAUGUUAUGAACUUUAUUUUGUAUUGUCCAGUUGAAUUUAAAAAGUGACCAUGUUUUCGUUUAUUAA